UACGUAGGGUGCGAGCGUUGUCCGGAAUUAUUGGGCGUAAAGGGCUCGUAGGCGGUUUGUCGCGUCGGGAGUGAAAUCCACUGGCUUAACUGGUGGCUUGCUUUCGAUACGGGCAGACUGGAGGUAUGCAGGGGAGAACGGAAUUCCUGGUGUAGCGGUGAAAUGCGCAGAUAUCAGGAGGAACACCUGUGGCGAAAGCGGCUCACUGGACCAUAACUGACGCUGAUGCACGAAAGCUAGGGGAGCAAACAGG
RNAcentral lists this ribosomal RNA (253 nucleotides) under uncultured bacterium. RNAcentral describes it as "partial 16S ribosomal RNA". It matches the Rfam family "Bacterial small subunit ribosomal RNA", at positions 524 to 776 of the family's 1533-position model. The record is from RNAcentral.